CAAUAGCGUAUAUUAAAGUUGUUGCGGUUAAAAAGCUCGUAGUUGGAUUUCUGCUGAGAACGACCGGUCCGCCCUUUGGGUGUGUAUCUGGCUCUUUCUUGGCAUCUUCUUGGUGAACGUUGCUGCACUUGACUGUGUGGAGCGCUACCCAGGACUUUUACUUUGAGGAAAUUAGAGUGUUUCAAGCAGGCACACGCCUUGAAUACAUUAGCAUGGAAUAAUAAGAUAGGACCUCGGUUCUAUUUUGUUGGUUUCUAGAGCUGAGGUAAUGAUUAAUAGGGAUAGUUGGGGGCAUUCGUAUUUAACUGUCAGAGGUGAAGUUCUUGGAUUUGUUAAAGACGGACUACUGCGAAAGCAUUUGCCAAGGAUGUUUUCAUUGA
Molecule: ribosomal RNA, 380 nt
Filed under: uncultured eukaryote
Lineage: Eukaryota
Description: partial 18S ribosomal RNA
Rfam family: Eukaryotic small subunit ribosomal RNA
Source: RNAcentral